AGCCAUGCCGCGUGUGUGAAGAAGGCCUUUUGGUUGUAAAGCACUUUAAGCAGUGAAGAAGACUCUUCGGUUAAUACCCGGAGACGAUGACAUUAGCUGCAGAAUAAGCACCGGCUAACUCUGUGCCAGCAGCCGCGGUAAUACAGAGGGUGCAAGCGUUAAUCGGAAUUACUGGGCGUAAAGCGAGCGUAGGUGGCUUGAUAAGUCAGAUGUGAAAUCCCCGGGCUUAACCUGGGAACUGCAUCUGAAACUGUUAGGCUAGAGUAGGUGAGAGGGAAGUAGAAUUUCAGGUGUAGCGGUGAAAUGCGUAGAGAUCUGAAGGAAUACCGAUGGCGAAGGCAGCUUCCUGGCAUCAUACUGACACUGAGGCUCGAAAGCGUGGGUAGCAAACAGGAUUAGAUACCCUGGUAGUCCACGCCGUAAACGAUGUCUACUAGUCGUUGGGUCCCUUGAGGACUUAGUGACGCAGCUAACGCAAUAAGUAGACCGCCUGGGGAGUACGGCCGCAAGGUUAAAACUCAAAUGAAUUGACGGGGGCCCGCACAAGCGGUGGAGCAUGUGGUUUAAUUCGAUGCAACGCGAAGAACCUUACCUGGUCUUGACAUAUCUAGAAUCCUGCAGAGAUGCGGGAGUGCCUUCGGGAAUUAGAAUACAGGUGCUGCAUGGCUGUCGUCAGCUCGUGUCGUGAGAUGUUGGGUUAAGUCCCGCAACGAGCGCAACCCUUGUCCUUAGUUACCAGCGGGUUAAGCCGGGAACUCUAAGGAUACU
Molecule: ribosomal RNA, 768 nt
Filed under: Psychrobacter sp. CJJK47
Lineage: Bacteria; Pseudomonadati; Pseudomonadota; Gammaproteobacteria; Moraxellales; Moraxellaceae
Description: bacterial SSU rRNA
Rfam family: Bacterial small subunit ribosomal RNA
Source: RNAcentral